UACGUAGGGUGCGAGCGUUAAUCGGAAUUACUGGGCGUAAAGCGUGCGUAGGCGGUUCGUUAAGUGCGUCGUGAAAGCCCCGGGCUCAACCUGGGAAUGGCGAUGGAUACUGGCGGGCUAGAGUGCGGUAGAGGGUGGUGGAAUUCCCGGUGUAGUGGUGAAAUGCGUAGAUAUCGGGAGGAACACCAGUGGCGAAGGCGGCUUCCUGGCCUGUUCUUGACGCUGAGGCGCGAAAGCUAGGGGAGCAAACGGG
This 253-nucleotide ribosomal RNA is filed under the name uncultured bacterium. RNAcentral's name for it is "partial 16S ribosomal RNA". It matches the Rfam family "Bacterial small subunit ribosomal RNA", at positions 524 to 776 of the family's 1533-position model. The record is from RNAcentral.